RNAcentral lists this transfer RNA (83 nucleotides) under Armillaria solidipes. RNAcentral's name for it is "tRNA-Val". The record is from RNAcentral. Lineage: Eukaryota; Fungi; Basidiomycota; Agaricomycetes; Agaricales; Physalacriaceae.
GGGUCGAUGGCGUAGCUGGUUAUCGUAUCUGUCUAACAUAUAAAUGUCACAGAAGGUCCUCAGUUCGAACCUGGGUCGACUCA